UACGGAGGGUGCAAGCGUUGCUCGGAAUUACUGGGCGUAAAGCGUACGCAGGCGGCUCGUUAAGUUGGAUGUGAAAGCCCGGGGCUCAACCCCGGAAUUGCAUUCAAAACUGGCGGGCUUGAGUACGGGAGAGGGAAGCGGAAUUCCUGGUGUAGAGGUGAAAUUCGUAGAUAUCAGGAGGAACACCAGUGGCGAAAGCGGCUUCCUGGCCCGAUACUGACGCUCUUGUACGAAAGCGUGGGGAGCAAACAGG
Molecule: unclassified non-coding RNA, 253 nt
Filed under: uncultured Pseudobdellovibrionaceae bacterium
Lineage: Bacteria; Pseudomonadati; Bdellovibrionota; Bdellovibrionia; Bdellovibrionales; Pseudobdellovibrionaceae
Description: uncultured Bdellovibrionaceae bacterium contains 16S-23S intergenic spacer region
Rfam family: Bacterial small subunit ribosomal RNA
Source: RNAcentral